This 468-nucleotide ribosomal RNA is filed under the name uncultured bacterium. RNAcentral's name for it is "partial 16S ribosomal RNA". It matches the Rfam family "Bacterial small subunit ribosomal RNA", at positions 28 to 507 of the family's 1533-position model. The record is from RNAcentral.
GACGAACGCUGGCGGCGUGCUUAACACAUGCAAGUCGAACGGAAAGGCCCUGCUUUUGUGGGGUGCUCGAGUGGCGAACGGGUGAGUAACACGUGAGUAACCUGCCCCUGACUUUGGGAUAACUUCAGGAAACUGGGGCUAAUACCGGAUAUGAGCUCCUGCUGCAUGGUGGGGGUUGGAAAGUUUCGGCGGUUGGGGAUGGACUCGCGGCUUAUCAGCUUGUUGGUGGGGUAGUGGCUUACCAAGGCUUUGACGGGUAGCCGGCCUGAGAGGGUGACCGGCCACAUUGGGACUGAGAUACGGCCCAGAAUCCUACGGGAGGCAGCAGUGGGGAAUAUGGCACAAUGGGCGGAAGCCUGAGGCAGCAACGCCGCGUGCGGGAUGACGGCCUUCGGGUUGUAAACCGCUUUCGCCUGUGACGAAGCGUGAGUGACGGUAAUGGGUAAAGAAGCACCGGCUAACUACGUG